RNAcentral lists this non-coding RNA (309 nucleotides) under Acyrthosiphon pisum (pea aphid). RNAcentral describes it as "Eukaryotic large subunit ribosomal RNA". It matches the Rfam family "Eukaryotic large subunit ribosomal RNA", at positions 1 to 275 of the family's 3401-position model. The record is from Rfam by way of RNAcentral. Lineage: Eukaryota; Metazoa; Arthropoda; Insecta; Hemiptera; Aphididae.
CGACCUCAGAUCAGGCGGGACUACCCGCCGGAUUUAAGCAUAUUAAUAAGCGGAGGAAAAGAAAACAACCGUGAUCCCUUAGUAGCGGCGAGCGAACCGGGAAAAGCCCAUCGCCGAAUCUCGCCGCGCACUUUUGUGUCGCGGCACGUAUGAGAGUUGUGGCGUACGGGCCGGCCUCGUUGCCGGGGCGCACGUGACGGUCCAAGUCUCCCUUGAACGGGGCCAUGGCCCGGCAGAUGGUGCCCAGGGCCCAGUAGAGGGCCGUCACAGCGUUCCGGGAUCGGACCGCGCCUUCGAGUCGGGUUGCUU